Molecule: ribosomal RNA, 478 nt
Filed under: uncultured bacterium
Lineage: Bacteria
Description: partial 16S ribosomal RNA
Rfam family: Bacterial small subunit ribosomal RNA
Source: RNAcentral
GAUGAACGCUGGCGGCGUGCUUAACACAUGCAAGUCGAACGAGAAAUGGAGACGGACACCUUCGGGCGGAAGGCUUCAUUUCGAGUGGCGGACGGGUGAGUAACGCGUGGGUAACCUGCCUCAUACAGGGGGAUAACAGUUGGAAACGACUGUUAAUACCGCAUAAGACCACAGCACCGCAUGGUGCGGGGGUAAAAACUCCGGUGGUAUGAGAUGGACCCGCGUUCGAUUAGCCAGUUGGCGGGGUAACGGCCCACCAAAGCGACGAUCGAUAGCCGAUCUGAGAGGAUGACCGGCCACAUUGGGACUGAGACACGGCCCAAACUCCUACGGGAGGCAGCAGUGGGGAAUAUUGCACAAUGGGGGAAACCCUGAUGCAGCGACGCCGCGUGAGUGAAGAAGUACUUCGGUAUGUAAAGCCCUAUCAGCAGGGAAGAAAAUGACGGUACCUGGGUAAGAAGCCCCGGCUAACUACGUG